Ribosomal RNA from Corchorus capsularis, 119 nucleotides. Lineage: Eukaryota; Viridiplantae; Streptophyta; Magnoliopsida; Malvales; Malvaceae. The record is from Rfam.
GGGUGCGAUCAUACCAGCACUAAUGCACCGGAUCCCAUCAGAAUUCCUCAGUUAAGCGUGCUUGGGCGAGAGUAGUACUAGGAUGGCUGACCUCCUGGGAAGUCCUCGUUUUGCACCCC